This 205-nucleotide unclassified non-coding RNA is filed under the name fungal sp. RNAcentral describes it as "partial internal transcribed spacer region". The stretch from base 1 to 46 matches the Rfam family "Eukaryotic small subunit ribosomal RNA", at positions 1786 to 1831 of the family's 1831-position model. The record is from RNAcentral. Lineage: Eukaryota; Fungi.
AAGUCGUAACAAGGUUUCCGUAGGUGAACCUGCGGAAGGAUCAUUCUUGAUAAAUGUAGCAUUUGCUUCAUUAUUUAUGUGCACCGUUACCGUCCAUUUGGCGGCCGAAAGGCUGUCAAGUGGCUUAUUUAUUAAUCACCUUUUAAUUUCUUGUACCAGUAAACAAAACUUUAGACAACUUUUAGCAAUGGAUCUCUAGGCUCUC